RNAcentral lists this long non-coding RNA (1456 nucleotides) under Homo sapiens (human). Its description in RNAcentral is "non-protein coding LINC00698:16". Lineage: Eukaryota; Metazoa; Chordata; Mammalia; Primates; Hominidae. The record is from RNAcentral.
GUCUUUGCCUGCUGCCAUCCACGUGAUAUGUGACUUGCUGCUCCUUGCCUUCUGCCAUAAUUGUGAGGCCUCCUCAGCCACACGGAAAUGCUUAUAGGCAUAAGAGACUUGCCUUGUCUCAGAUGAAACUUUGGACUGUGGACUUUUGAGUUAAUGCUGAUAUUAGGUGGUUAUGUUGAAGAUGUAAAUAUUCUCCCUGCUGUGAGUAUUACUGCAGCUGCCCAAAGAUGCUUUAUUUUAAAGAUGUGGAUACAGGAAGAUAAAAGCAUCAGAAACACUGCAUGGGACAAGAAGCUGAGUCUCAGAGAGAGAAAAUGACUCAUCCAAGCAAGGUUUGAGACCUAAGAAAGGUUGUGUAAGCAGAAGCUGGAAGACCCUUGAAAAGAGCAUUCAUUCAAGAAAUGAAGCAUGAGAUAGGAUGGAAGGAGGGAAGAAAGACAAGCAUAUGGCAUAUCAGGUCUCUUCCAGUGCUAAAGGCUGCCUAUGAUACUCAUCUGACCUGAUUUCUCCUGCACAGUGUUGCAACUGACGAGUAGCAGACUUGCCCUUGCCUGCAUUUGGGGGGAUGGCUGAGACUUUCCUUACAGAAAGCCCUACUUUCAGCAUGAACACUAACCCAGUUUAUUGGCUCAGGGUGUAGAGAGUUGCCUUGUCACUGGCGAAGUCAGAUGCAGCCAGUACCAGAGCUCUGCACUAGCUGUGAACACUAAGGAAGAAUAGCUGAGUGAGGAAGCAGAGUGCCAGGCAGCACAUCCUUCUUCAGGUGUUUCCUGCCCUGGGCCAGAUCCCAGGCACUGCAGCAAUAUCUCUGCAUGAUCUAGGGCUCCUGGAAAUAGCCCAUUAAGGGCAAAACUCGCUGCCCAGAAAACAUUAGAACAUUAAAAGAGCAGGGUCUCAUCUGAUUGUCUUGGUUUCCUGAGGCUCAUUCAGUCUGUGUCCACUGGUUUCAGUCUGAGUUCUCUGCACUUUGAGGAUGCAGACAGUGAAGUUCUCCCAUGGUUAUAGGGGGAGAGAUCAUAGGAAUGCUAUGGAAAGAGGCCUGAAGUCAGAGCCAGCUAGUGGUUAUUAUUUAUUAAUUGCCUGUGAGGUGCCAGGCGCACAUAUUAGACCAUAUGUGAUUGCAGUGAGCCACCCGGAUCCCCUUCAAGCUGCUGCUGCAGCUGAUGGAAGUCCUAUUGGCAGACAGCCUUCUCUCAUCAGCCCCUUCAGGACUUGCCUCAGUUGCAGAGAGCUGCCUUCCCCAAGAUCACACCCUUCCCUGGGGACUCACAACCAAUGGCUGAUCCAGAAGAAUCCAUAAAGCCCGUAUCAUUUCAGCCCAAUUUAGGACAGCUUUGUUGAGCCAUUAGACCUACAUGCAGCCCAACCUCUCCUUCUACCCACUUCUUCUUUCUUCCCUUUCCUUCCACGGUGUCUGUUCCAAGCACUUGCCUUAAUAAACAUGUAACAGGUUAAA